AUUGAACGCUGGCGGCAUGCUUUACACAUGCAAGUCGGACGGCAGCGCGGGCUUCGGCCUGGCGGCGAGUGGCGAACGGGUGAGUAAUACAUCGGAACGUGCCCAGUAGUGGGGGAUAGCUCGGCGAAAGCCGGAUUAAUACCGCAUACGACCUGAGGGUGAAAGCGGGGGACUUUAGGGCCUCGCGCUAUUGGAGCGGCCGAUGGCAGAUUAGCUAGUUGGUGGGGUAAAGGCCUACCAAGGCGACGAUCUGUAGCUGGUCUGAGAGGACGACCAGCCACACUGGGACUGAGACACGGCCCAGACUCCUACGGGAGGCAGCAGUGGGGAAUGUUGGACAAUGGGCGCAAGCCUGAUCCAGCAAUGCCGCGUGUGUGAUGAAGGCCUUCGGGUUGUAAAGCACUUUUGGCAGGAACGAAAAGUGCCGUGCUAAUACCACGGUACGAUGACGGUACCUGCAGAAUAAGCACCGGCUAACUACGUG
RNAcentral lists this ribosomal RNA (484 nucleotides) under uncultured bacterium. RNAcentral describes it as "partial 16S ribosomal RNA". It matches the Rfam family "Bacterial small subunit ribosomal RNA", at positions 29 to 507 of the family's 1533-position model. The record is from RNAcentral.